This 240-nucleotide ribosomal RNA is filed under the name uncultured bacterium. RNAcentral's name for it is "partial 16S ribosomal RNA". It matches the Rfam family "Bacterial small subunit ribosomal RNA", at positions 96 to 334 of the family's 1533-position model. The record is from RNAcentral.
UGGCGAACGGGUGAGUAACGCGUGAGGAACCUGCCUCAAAGAGGGGGACAACAGUUGGAAACGACUGCUAAUACCGCAUAAGCCCACGACCCGGCAUCGGGUAGGAGGGGAAGAAGCAAUCCGCUUUGAGAUGGCCUCGCGUCCGAUUAGCUAGUUGGUGAGGUAAUGGCCCACCAAGGCGACGAUCGGUAGCCGGACUGAGAGGUUGAACGGCCACAUUGGGACUGAGACACGGCCCAG